GAUGAAGAACGUAGCGAAAUGCGAUAAGUAAUGCGAAUUGCAGAAUUUCCGUGAGUCAUCGAAUCUUUGAACGCACAUUGCGCCCACUGGUAUUCCGGUGGGCAUGCCUGUUCGAGCGUCAUUAUCCUCCCUCAAACCCCGGGUUUGGUGUUGGACCCAAGUUGUGUGAACAACUGGUCUCAAAGACAAUGACGGCGUCCGUGGGACCCUCGGUGCAACGAGCUUUUAGGAGCACGCGCCGAGUUGCAAGGACCUUCCGGGCCGGUCUCCUUUACCUAUUUUACAAGGUUGACCUCGGAUCAGGUAGGAAUACCCGCUGAACUUAAGCAUAUCAAUAAGCGGAGGA
RNAcentral lists this unclassified non-coding RNA (346 nucleotides) under soil metagenome. Its description in RNAcentral is "partial contains 5.8S ribosomal RNA, internal transcribed spacer 2, and large subunit ribosomal RNA". The stretch from base 1 to 121 matches the Rfam family "5.8S ribosomal RNA", at positions 35 to 154 of the family's 154-position model. The record is from RNAcentral.